AGGUCUCCAGAUGGGGAAUUCCAAGAACAUAGUGCAGGAUCAUUCAGUUCUUUGGUCUCAACCCAUAGUCUGUUUGAAGCCUGUGAUGAGCAGCAUACAGUAGUGGAAUUUCAUGCCUAAGUGAUUUGUGGAGAAAAUAAUAUACAUUGGGACGCCAACUUCAAACAACUAGGAAGGAGCAAAAGAGAUGGAUAAGCUCUGCCUUCUAUCAACAGAAUGGUUCCAGUUUGGCUAACUGAAUAUCAUUACCUACAGAAUGUCUGCCAUGGUGAAUCCAAGAUCUUCUCUUCUUUCUCCACAAGGAUUCUAGUAACUACAGUAAGUUUCAACAGAUCCAAAUUAUGCCAGAUAAGUGUCCCUUUGUCUAUA
Molecule: non-coding RNA, 369 nt
Organism: Peromyscus maniculatus bairdii (prairie deer mouse)
Lineage: Eukaryota; Metazoa; Chordata; Mammalia; Rodentia; Cricetidae
Source: RefSeq, a predicted model, not a curated record